Molecule: non-coding RNA, 637 nt
Filed under: Amborella trichopoda
Lineage: Eukaryota; Viridiplantae; Streptophyta; Magnoliopsida; Amborellales; Amborellaceae
Description: Bacterial large subunit ribosomal RNA
Rfam family: Bacterial large subunit ribosomal RNA
Source: Rfam by way of RNAcentral
UGUAAAAUUUAAUCCAAAAGGAGCACACCUAGGGCAAUUGUCGUUAUUUAUAGACCCGAACCUGGAUGAUCUAUCCAUGACCAGGAUGAAACUUGGGUGAAAAUAAGCAGAAAUUCGAAUUGACUGAUGUUGAAUAAUCAACAGAUGAGUGUAGUUGGGGGUGAAAUGCCACUCGAACCCAAAGCUAGCUAGGUCUCCUCGGAAUUCAUUGACAUGCAACAGUUGACUAGAAAUCUACGGGUAAAACAUUUUUUUGACGUGGGCAGCGAGAAUGGUACCAAAUCGAGAUAAACUUUGAAUACUAGAUAUGACGCGAAAAUAACAACAGGUAAUGUUAGCCUGUGAGACGGUGGGAGAUAAGCUUAAUCAUCAAGAGGGAAACAGCUUUGAGCGCCACCUAAAGCCCCUAAAUGACCGCUUAGUGAUAAAGGAGGUAGGGCUGCGGAGACAACCACGAGAACAACCAUGAGGUUUGCCUAGAAGCAACUACCCUUGAACUUAUUUGGAAGUGCUUAGGUCCAACAUCGAAAACCAAAGAUGCAUGGCGGUUGGACUCACCAAAAACUUUUUUCUUUUUUAACGUUUGGUAUUAUUAAAAAAUUUUCGUUAUUAAUCUUGGCAUGUAUUCCAAAGCAAA